This 274-nucleotide ribosomal RNA is filed under the name uncultured bacterium. RNAcentral describes it as "partial 16S ribosomal RNA". It matches the Rfam family "Archaeal small subunit ribosomal RNA", at positions 473 to 747 of the family's 1478-position model. The record is from RNAcentral.
AAACCAGCACCUCAAGUGGUCAGGAUGAUUAUUGGGCCUAAAGCAUCCGUAGCUUGCUUUGUAAGUUUUCGGUUAAAUCUGUACGCUCAACGUACAGGCCGCCGGGAAUACUGCAGGGCUAGGGAGUGGGAGAGGUAGACGGUAUUCGGUAGGAAGGGGUAAAAUCCUUUGAUCUAUUGAGGACCACCUGUGGCGAAGGCGGUCUACCAGAACACGUUCGACGGUGAGGGAUGAAAGCUGGGGGAGCAAACCGGAUUAGAAACCCGAGUAGUCC